Molecule: long non-coding RNA, 8695 nt
Organism: Strigops habroptila (Kakapo)
Lineage: Eukaryota; Metazoa; Chordata; Aves; Psittaciformes; Psittacidae
Source: Ensembl
UUCUUUCUUGCUUGCUUUUUUAUUUUCUUCUCUCCCCCACCGCCAUUUAGCUAUUGCUGGCUUGCCAGAGAUCUUGAACUUGAGAAAGGUUAGACAUCACAAUGCUGGAGCAGUUUGUGAGCAUCAGCAGAUUUAGCUUGUAAUUUCAUUGAUCUAUGUGGGCUUGCUGUUUGCAAACCAGCUGCUGCACUGUUUCCCCACAGCUACUGAUCUGAGUAGCAUUGAUUUUUUCCCUUACAUUAACAUAGCAUUACUUCUUUAAUGGGCAUUAAAUGACUGGAUGUAAAUACAAACAGGGCUGCAACAACAAAAGAGAAAUAAAUGCAUUAGUUCUUUUUAUUUAAAGAACUCUAUUAAUAUUUUCCACAAAAAAAAAAUUAAAAGCAUGAGUUAUUGAUCAAGAUAAAUGCUACUUUUCAUGGGUUUAUUUCCACACAUUUCUUUUGCCAAGAAAAUGUCUUUUUUUCUUACUGCAUUUACUCAUAGCCCAAAAUGUUGCAUCUUACAAAGGCUGCAUUUUUUUUUCUCAGUAUAAAUGGUAAAAUAGAUUUUUUUAAGGAAGAAUUAUAGAAAGCAACACGAAUUAUUUUCUUCAUUGUGCUUAUACUCAAAUUAGAUGAACCCGUAUCAGUUUUGAAGGGGACACCAUCUGUUAGCUCUCACUUUUUUACCACUAAGAGAAAAAAAAAAAGAAUGGACCUCAAUUUUGAUAGAGUAGAUAUGACACCUGGAGCAUGGUCUAUAUCUUACAUAUAAUAUGCUUAAUAUAAGGUCACGGUAUCACUACAUGCUACUUUAGUCCUUCAGUGGGUAGAGUUUUAAGUAAUCUUACAGAUAUAAAAUUCAAUGUGGUAUAGAUAGGACAGUGGGGAAAAAAAAAUAAAGGAAGCAAGGUCCUCUCUAAUAGUAGGUGACAACCAGAAGAGAUGUCUAUACCAGAAAAAGAUGCAAAACUGAAUCUCGUUUCUACAGACACUUCAUGAAGAGGAGAUGGGAUUGAGAGUGUUGAGAAUUAACAGAUAAGAACUUCCAAAGAAAAGCAGCAGUAGGUUACAACCUUCUGGGCUGCAGAUGACAGCAGGCAGUAGUGCCAGUGAUUUCUCCAGCACCACAAUCAAGUUAACAGCACCUCAAAAACAGAAGCACUUCAGCAAAAUCCAACAGGAAUAGGACUUCUCUUUAAGUAUUUAUGAAAGAGGAUUUUUUCUUUUAUAACAGCUCUGUUUUGCGCAUGCGGCCUGGUUACCCUGAGGAAAAUGUCCAGUGACCUGACAGAUGGGAAUUCCUCAUUCUCAUGUAACCCUGUCUGCUUUCAUUCCUAGAGAGGGCAAAUCAUUUCACAUGGAUGCUUCAGUGAUAUCUAUUGAAUCCUGGCUCAGAAAGGAGAUAAAUUAUUCUCACUAGAACAUAAUAGUAUAUAAUAUGGUGCUGGAGGUGAAAAUAACCCAUAAAAUGAGUACCAAAAUUGGACAAGUUAAAAUGUAUGCGUUGCCAGCCUAACCAACCUCUCUUAGUCUCACAGUUCUCUGACUAGCCAACAUUUAAUGUCAGUUUUAGCAGAUACAAUGUCCAAAUCACUAAAAAUUAUAUUAAGUAACACUGACUCCAAUGUGAAUCUUUAGAGCAUCCUACUAUUAACCUUUUUACACUCUUAGGAGAAGACUUUCAGUGCAAGUUUUUUGUCAUCAUUUAUUCAAUUUUUAAUCCACUGUGAGAUUUUGCCCCUUACUUCAUAGUUAUAUUUUUCUCUUAAUAGUCUUUUAUGAAAGACCAUAUCAGGAAUUUUUUUAAAAUCCAAAUACAUUAGUUCACCAGGUCACUUUUAUCUACUAUUUUAUUAACUUUUUCAAAGCACUUUAGCAGGUUAGAGAAGCAUACUUUCCCUCUACUGACGUUACGCAGGUUUGACCCUAUUAGGUUAUACUUAUCCAUGUGCUGAACUAUUCUAUCAUUAAUUAGACUUUCAAUCAGUUUUCCCAGAAGCAAGGUGAAGUUCACUGGUCUUAAUUCCCAGGAUCUCUUUUUGGUCCUUUUUUAACAACAGAUACUGUAUCAGAAAUUUUCCAAACAUCACUCAUCUAUAUCACAUCUUCCUGUGUCUCCUCUAUUUCACACUUUAUUCUGGUGAAUGCUACCUACUUUUAAUUAUUUUCAAUUUUUACAUGAUUUUAUCAAAUGACUCAGCACUUCACUUGUAAAAAACACUUUCAUUGUACAAUUUUUGCUAAUGUUGCUCUGCCUUUUAUAUUUUUAGCGCAAUUAACUACUUCAGCUGCCAUCUAUAAGAAUGAACAAGGUGAGAGUCUGUUUAACUAUUGAACUCUUUUGCUAUGGUGAAUGGAUAACCAUGGGUUUAAUUUGAUAGUCUUGGUCUUUUUAAUUAUUUUGUCCCUACAAGUCCUCAGAUGAGCAACUAUUCACUUUUGUCUUCAAAGUUAUAAAAUUUAUCCUGCAGCUUUUAGGGCUUUUUGGGGUUUAUUUUUGUGGAUACACAUGAUGAUCAACCUGAGUAGAUUAUUUUCCAGCUCACUUUGAGCACUUUGUUCUUAGAGGAAGAGAGAAAGGAAGGAUCAAAUCCUAACACCACCAUACCUAAAUGACUGGUUAGACUCACCAGCAAUAUCUAAUACCAAGAGUUAUUAAAACUGGCUUUCACGUGAAUCUGACAAAUGACAGAAAGAAGUUGUGCUUAUAUGAAAAGGUAUAGAUUUGUAUUCUGGGCUUGUGGAAGAUGUUCUCAGUCUAUGCUUUAGGUACAUAGGUUUUAAUGAUCAGGAAAUAUUGUUGAACACGAUUUUUAGUGAAAAAGCAUUGAAAAUUCCCACUGAAAUGUGUACAUGGCUAAGUAAAGGUCAGUAAGCUACUGAGUAAACCUGAAGUGCUCACAUCAGAGGAUUAGAAACUCAGAAUUUCCAGCAUUCAGUGAAGUUGGUGAAUUUUCCUCUGGAAUUCAAGACUUAGUUUACUUAACAGUCAGGUCUGAUUUGAAUGGAUGAGAAAAUUGAAAAGGAACUUCAGCCAUAUAAGGCCUCCAAGUAAGACAGUCUAGGUUUCAAACUAUGCUUUGCUUCUAUAAUAAACCCCACACUACACUAUCUUCACCUUGGUGUGAAUUUCAUUACAAAAAUAUCACAUAGUUCUAACUGUAAGUAUUAAGGUAGAUUACUGCUGGCUUGUUUUCCCUUCAAAUAGAAGUUCCAGUUUUAUCUGUGUUCAGAGAUUCUACGUGCUGCACUGUUAAGCACAGAUUUCUGCUUAAAUUAUAUUCCUAUCGUCAGCUCUAACAUAUGAAAAUAGAACACAUUUUAACGCGUGUGUUAAACAUUAAAUCAUUUUUGCUUCAGGGAAACUCUGGUAAACAGUAACUGUCAAAAACUGUAAUGACACAAAAUUAAAAUAAUAGAAAAUAGUCUGUAACAGCAGCUUUUCUUAUCAUGUUAACAGAAGUUCAGCUCUUCAUCUUCUAACUAUUCCUUUACAAAAAGCAGAAAGGUUGAGGAAGGACAGCUCAGGUACACAAAUGUACCUGUUGGACAAGAAAAGUUGGAAAUUAUCAUUGCUACCAUUCUUUGUUUCCUUACUGUGAAGUACACUUCAAUCAACGUAAGAAAAAUGCAACCAACUAAACAUAUGCAUAUUUCUUCUGUUAUGAAAAUUACCCUUUCAGUCAGGAUUUUUAAUAUAUAAACAUUUUUUUUUUACAAAAUCUUGGAAAAUAUAGGAGUAUCAUUUACACACUCUAAAUUGGUAUAAAUCCUGGAAGCCUGCAUUAUGUCAGAAAGAAACUGAUUUGAAGAAAUUAAACUGCAUCAGAAAUAUUGACAGGCAUAUAGAUUGAAUUACAUGAAUAUGAGAUACAGAUGGAACAGUUCUGCUUAGUGAUCAAUGUCAAAUGAAUUUCAAAAUUAUUUUAGUUUGUUUCUUAUGUCUUAUUUUAUGUUAGGUUUUAAUUUGGAUCAGUAAUAUGAAAUCAAAUCACUAUUUAUUAACUUUCACUUACAAACAAAAAAAAACAUCUAACUAAUAGAAGCUUAUCUGAAGUUAGAACCUUCCAUUUUACAGAGGCCGAGUAACAAUAUAGUUUAUUUUUACCGUGAUACAAAUUAUUCAAAAGCAAGAAAUAAAACCUGAGAUUUGAAAGUUUCCACCUAUUAAUGUAGUACGUAACUGAUGCACACAGGCUGUAUGGUGAGGUUGCAUUGCCCCCUAUAGUCACUGUGUGUCAGCUGGGAGGGGAGGGGGAAGAGAAAGAGAAGAGUGGGAGAAAUUAUUUGCCAAAAGUAUGAUGCAUUUGGGUUUGAUUCACACUUUGGAAAGGGCAUGGUUGGGAGCAAUGGUCAAGUCUAACCCGGGGCCAUGCUGUUCAAGAAGAAUUUGUAUGCAUUAUUCUCCAAGUACAUAUGGACGAAAUAAAAAGUGUUCACAUUCGGAUCAGAAGAGCUCUGCAGCUCCUGUGGUCUGGCUGUGUUUGGGGUGCAUUUGUUUGACGCUGGUACCUGCACACUGACAGCACACCAGGGAUGCCAGCAUACCUGCCUGUGGACUCAGAUGCAGAAGGUGGUUGACUUUGGUUUGCCAGCGAAAGGCAGGAGGGCCUAUAGGUGACAGCUCUUUUGCACUCAGUGGACACACCUUUGGGGGUUGAGCAUAACAGGGACAUUUCACUCCAAGCACACAGGACUCUAAAAGCCCGAAUUGUGGCAUCAAUACACAGACUACUUUUUGAAGCAGCUUCAGCACAAGGACUAGAAAGAGAGAGAAAAGGCUCAAAUACAGGUUCCUCUUCAGUAGUAGGAGCAACUGCAAAGGGCACAGCCAGUUUAUUCAUGCUGCCCAUGGACACUGGCAAUGCUGCUCUUUCAUAGCCCUUGGGCUUAGCAGGGGCAGGAUGUUUCCCAAAUUCCUGCAGAAUAAUAUGCCACUUUUAACCACCAGCACAAGGACAAAGCUACAUUCCAGGACUCAGAUUUUCCAGUCAAGCCCAUCUUUCUUAACUUUGCUGUAAACUAAAAAAAUCUUACCUCCUCAUAAAACUAACUGAAUCUCGGCAGCUGUCCUAAUACUUUUCUCUUAUGAACAUAAUUAUGCACAGCAUUCAGUAUAUCUUUUAACAGGUACAGACACAAUAUAACAAAAAACAUUACAUUCUUGAGGAUAUCUUAAAAAUAUCUAAUCAACUACUGAUGCUACUGUGCCAAAAACUUAAUGGAAAGUACAGAUGUUCAAUAAGCUCAAGAUCAACACCCUCUCUCUUAGGGUGCAAUACCCUGUUAUCACUAUUUGUCUUAUUUCUGGGGACAGCUUUUCUACUCCCACAGUUCUACGCACUACUCCCAUAGUUCUAGCUAGCAAAGGUUAGUGCUGCUUUUAAGAGGUGAUAGUUCUGAUUUUUGAAUCUUCUACCUCUUUUCCUUUAGUGGCAGAAGCAGGUUUGUAGAGACACGAUGAACUGAUUGGAAAACUUAUGCAGCUAAAAUCCUAGAUUUUUUCUUACCAUAUGAUUUUUAAUUUGGAUCAGUUGUUGAGGCUCACUAUGUAGCAGCACCCAUGCUUGCACUUGUACAAAGAAAGAAGAAAAAGAAAUAGUAACAGUAGGUUAUGGUAACAGCUUAACUCCACAGCAGUGAUGUCUUGUGUCAAUUGGAGUUGUUUGUGUACCUAUGGUUUCAAGAAUAUGAAUUGUCAUUAAAAUGCCUUUAUAUUUCAUUCUGUCUGAGAAAAAGUAUUAUGAGUGUUCCCAUUCACAUAUCUUCAAAAAUACUCUCUGUCUAGACAGAAAAGACAGUCCUGCAAAGUGGAGCUGAACAACAUGUUUAGUUUUUGUGAAUAUAUGCCCAGACAUAGUCCCAUAUCAAUUCUUUAUUUUACUACGAUGACUAAAGACUCAAUAAUGACUAAGCUACUGAUGAGAUGUGAUUGCUGCUUACCCAGCAGAUCAAUACUGUCUCACUGCCUCCUGAUGUGAAGGGGUGUAUCCUGAUAGCAUUCAGCUGUUCGAUUAUCUUACUCUUAACUGCAAGCUCUCUGAAGCAGGGUCAGGUUUUUGUUCUGUUAGCCCUGCAGCUAGCACAAGUUCUACAGCUCAUUGUCCUGGGUUCAGCUGUAACAGUUAUUUUUCUCCUUCCUAGUAGCUGGUGCAGUGCUAUGUUUUGGCUUUAGUUUGAGAACAAUGCUGAUAACACACCGAUGUUUUAGUUGUUGCUCAGUAAUGCUUACCCCUAUCAAGGACUUUUCAGUCUCUCAUGCUCUGCCAGUGAGGAGGGGCACAAGAAGCCAGGAGGGAGCAGAGACAGGACACCUGACCCAAAUCAGCCAAAGGGGUAUUCCAUAUCACAGCACGUCAUGCCCAGAAUGUAAACUGGGGGGGAGUCACCUGGAAGGCCUGAUCACUGCUUGGGUUGGGCUGGGUAUCAGUCAAUGGGUGGUGAGCAAUUGUAUUGUGCAUCACCUGUGUUUAUUGUUUUUUUUGUCCUGGAUACACUGAAGCACAGUUGCACAAUAGAUACCACUGUGUGGUAAUUCAGCUAACACAAACGUCUAACAGUGAGCAAUUCAAUCCUAUGUUAUUAAUUAUCUUCGCCCUUUAUGUAUUUUCACUCAGCUAUUACUUUUUUGUUACUUAUGUGUUUGUAUUCAAACACAUGUAUGCACAUACAUUAUGUUAUUUCACUGUUUUCUUCAACCAACACAAUUUGAUUCUGUCUAAAGAACAUACAAGUAGUAUGUUCUACUACCCAUGAAAAUGGGAGACUUUCCUCAUGUUACCAGCAUAUGGUGCCUUCAUGCUAAAGAACCAAAACCCACUGUGUGACACAUGUCCAUCCUCAUAAAUGUGGAACCAGCUUUCAGCAGUGGCGCACUAUGUAACUGGUGCAGAAGACUGAUACAUUUGGGGAAACAACAUUUCUGAAUGCCAAACAUACAAAGAUGAGCCACGAAAUCUUAUGAAUUAUCCAUGCAGAGCAGACAGAAUACUUGUUUUCAAGGUCAAAUGAGAAAGAUCCCCUGCCCUGUGUGGUAAACUACACAUUAAUACAUUUAUCCAUCUUUGGAAUGUAAGGGACAAAGUCAACAUAGAAAAAUAAACCAGUGGGGUAAGACAGCCAAGCUACCAAAAUCAUUAUGCCAUCUGUUCUGCUGGCAUUUUUAAUGUCUGUGCAGGGCACACACAAUGAAAAAUAGAUCUCUAAUUCAAAUUUUAGUUUCUUCUAAACUGGAUUGCAGUAUCAAAUAUAUUUACAUUCUUUGGAUAACCCUUAAUUGGUUUUGGUUUACAUACUGGUUUUUUCAUAUUUGUUUAGCCACCUCAUAACUGAGGCAACAGAAAGAAAGAGUAAAAUAAACCAAUACUAGAUUUUUUAAAGGGAAAUUGCAGUAGUGUCUCAUAAAUGCUUCUACACUUCCCACUGGCCUUCACCAACAUACUUGAAGCUGGCAUGAUCCUCUCAAAAUAAUACGUUUUGUUGUUGUCAACACUAACAUUUAAAGGAUAACAAUUCAGAAAAGAGGCAAGGCGGUCAAUUGAUUCCUCCUGAAUACUGUGGACAAGCAACACUCAAGUUUGGUUCCUGAACCUGAUGGGCUGUUGAAGCACAGCUCUUUGAUGGUUUGAGAGAAGGCAAUUGUACUACCAGGGGAGGAGACCAGAGAAUGAAUUCUGACUGGGAAUGUCAAGUUUAAACUCUCUAGUAGUGCAAAGGGGUUCAGAAGUGAAUGCAAAUCUAUCCUAAAGCCCUUUACAUUAGCAGAAUCGGGUAAAAAGGUCUUGUUGGGACUCAGAGAACCACAAUUUCUCUUGCUUUUCUCUUGCCUUACCAGGAAGAAUAAAUGAUUUGGCUCCUUCACAGGGCACUGUCCCUGCCUUGCAUUUCAUCAGCCCCAUCACAGUGAACUCAGAAUUUCUGACAUUCCCCACUAGACUUUUUUCUCCCCCCUGCAGUCACAGUGAGAGAAGCAGAUGCAUCUUUUCCAUUCCUCCCACUGCAGUAUUGGAAAAUCUGAGCUGGACCGUGCACUUGUAUAAGAGGAUUCUAGCCAGCAAUAUAAAGGCUAUGGCAUGUGGUAAGUGUAAUGUAGCAGCCUACAUAUAUUUCAGGUUUUCUAAAUCAUUGGGAUGGUAUUAGAAAAAAAUAAUUUUUAACAUUUACAUCUCUGAUGACUGUAGAGUGGUAGGAUCUUGCAGCAAACAUUUCAGAGUGUUCAUCGCUGUGCUAUUUGGUUUCUCUACACAGGCAGUUAGUUUAAUUUCUUAUAUAUCCACGUCAUUUUUCUUUCAUAUUAAUAUUCCCAUAUGACAAGUACAUUACUUCAACCUGCUGAAUUGAUUUUCAAGAGGAAUCUUGGUAUACAUAAAUUGUUACUUCUCAUGAAACUUUUCAAAAAAUGGCCAGAUUCAAUUCUAUCCUUUGUAAGGAGCAUGAAGGAGUAUAAUGUGCCCAUGCCCCAUAAAACAGUCUAGCUGCUCUUCAUGGUAUUGUUUAGUUCUCAUUUGUUGGUUUUGUUUAGUUUGAUAUGAUACUACGGAAUAAUAAAAGCAUUAAAAUUGCAUGAAUGCGGUAUUGGUAAAAUACCACUACUGUUGGUCAAGUACUAAUGAAAAAUGAAUGCAAUUCCUCACCGAAUUCGGACUGCCAUUUUAAAAGCAAUCAUCUAAAACCAGGCAGUGUUUAGAAAUGCAUGACUACGAUGUUUACCC